GUCCACACUGCUUUUAUGAGCUGUAACACUCACCGCGAAGGUCUGCAGCUUCACUCCUGAAGCCAGCGAGACCACGAGCCCACCGAGAGGAACGAACUCCAGAGGCGCCGCCUUAAGAGCUGUAACACUCACCGUGAAGGUCUGCAGCUUCACUGCUGAGCCAGCGAGACCACGAACCCACCAGAAGGAAGAAACUCUGAACACAUCCGAACAUCAGAAGGAACAAACUCCAGACGUGCCACCUUAAGAGCUGUAACACUCACCACGAGGGUCGGCGGCUCCAUUCUUAAAGUCAGUGAGACCAAGAACCCACCAGUUCCAGACACACUUUUCUUGCAUUAGAUCCUGUGAUGGUUAAUAUUGAGUGUCAACUUGAUUGAAUUGAAGGAUGCAAAGUAUUGUUCCUGGGUGUGUCUGUGAGGGUGUUGCCAAAGGAGAUUAACACUUGAGUCAGUGAACUGGGAAAGGCAGACCCACCCUCCAUCUGGGUGGGCACCAUCUAAUCAGCUGCCAGCAUGGCUAAAAUAUAAAGCAGGCAGAAGAACAUGAAAAGACUAGACUGGCCUAGUUUCCCAGCCUACAUCUUUCUCCCGUGGUGGAUGCUUCCUGCCCUCAAACAUCAGACUCCAGGUUCUUCAGUUUUAGGACUCGGACUGGCUCUCCUUGCUCCUCAGCUUGCAGAUGGCCUAUUGUGGGACCUUGUGAUUAUGUUAGCAAAGCAUGGAAACGAAUUUCAGGCCAAAUGACGAUACAUUCAUGAUCGCUGGACAAUUUUAUUAUCUGGAUCCUGGGGCAGUGCAUGCAGUGUUUGUCCUGGAGCAACCUCCUUAAGGGGCCACCUCUGCUUGAGCAACACGCUGGAAGCUUCAUAGAUAGGUAACAUUCUCUAGCUUGCUACCCAGCCCCCUUGGUGUCAUGUUUCUCUUCUCCCCCAUCCUCCUGUGUAGUGCAUGUGCUCUCCAGACUCUCCCCAAGGCUCUGUCCCUGUCCCACCUUCCCUCUCUGAGAACUUCCCACCUCCGCUCCACUCCUUCAGGUGAGGAUUUUUUUUUCUCUCUGACUCAACACAUAUGCAGAUAACUUACUGGUCAGACCCUUCUUUGUUGUAUUCGGUCUCUAAGAUCCUGGGCCUAUUUGUUACUCAUAUUGUCUAGAUCUUGGGAGCAGAGCCAUGUCCAAAGAUCAUGGAAUUCUUUGCACACAGAGUGGACACCUGACCUGCCAUCAGGGUGUAGGCUUUCCUGAUGCCCCUCCCACCCGAGCCAGGUGUGAGUGGAAGGGAUGAAUCUCAGAGGGUUGAAUAAGUUAUGAGCCUUAGUUCAUGAUAUAUCAUCAUCUUUGAUUUGGGUUAAUCUUUGAUUUAAUUAGCUAUCACUUUUAUUCCCAUUCUUCAUUCCCAUGCCCCAUCCAUAGGCAGUCAUAUCUAUGUGUUUAAUGUUUACCUUUUUAUCUGUAAAUGCCCUUAUAAAAUAUGCAUUAUUAUUUGGCGUACAUAUAUUUUUCACUUACACAGACAGUAUUGAAUUAUUUAUCUUCUUCCCCCCAUUCAGCACUAUGCUUUUAAGGUGCAUGCAUAUCGUUCUGUGGGCUUCUAUCUGCGGCAUGAUCAGCCACAGUGUGCAUCUGUGUAUCAUGCUCUCUGCCUUCCCAGCCCCUGACAAACACACAGACAAUGCUGUGGGAAACAUCACAGUAUAUAUUCAUAUCUUCAUAUGAGAGGCAUAUUCCCAAGGGUGAAAUUAAGCCCUAUAAGAUGAAUGAGCUAUAGAUACAGGAAUGUAGGUAUAGAUAGAUGUAGAUGGCAAACAUAGAUAUUUAAAUUCAUAUGCUUAC
This 1833-nucleotide long non-coding RNA is filed under the name Homo sapiens (human). RNAcentral describes it as "HSALNT0022484". Lineage: Eukaryota; Metazoa; Chordata; Mammalia; Primates; Hominidae. The record is from RNAcentral.